This 406-nucleotide ribosomal RNA is filed under the name uncultured bacterium. RNAcentral's name for it is "partial 16S ribosomal RNA". It matches the Rfam family "Bacterial small subunit ribosomal RNA", at positions 29 to 526 of the family's 1533-position model. The record is from RNAcentral.
AUUGAACGCUGGCGGCAGGCCUAACACAUGCAAGUCGAACGAGUGGCGGACGGGUGAGUAAUGUCUGGGAAACUGCCCGAUGGAGGGGGAUAACUACUGGAAACGGUAGCUAAUACCGCAUACCAUCGGAUGUGCCCAGAUGGGAUUAGCUUGUCGGUGAGGUAACGGCUCACCUAGGCGACGAUCCCUAGAUGGUCUGAGAGGAGGACCAGCCAAACUGGAAAUGAGACACGGUCCAGACUCCUACGGGAGGCAGCAGUGGGGAAUAUGGCACAAGUGGCGCAAGCCUGAGACAGCCAUGCCGCGUGUAGGAAGAAGGCCUUCGGGUGUUAAAGUACUUUCAGCGGGGAGGCGUUACCCGCAGAAGAAGCACAGGCUAACUCCGUGCCAGCAGCCGCGGUAAUAC